CCUCUUUUCUCAAGGAAGAAGUUCUGACGGUACUUGAGGAAUAAGCAUCGGCUAACUCUGUGCCAGCAGCCGCGGUAAUACAGAGGAUGCAAGCGUUAUCCGGAAUCACUGGGCAUAAAGCGUCUGUAGGUUGCUUAUCAAGUCUGCUGUUAAAGACCAGGGCCUAACCCUGGGAAAGCAGUGGAAACUAGUAGGCUUGAGUGUGGUAGAGGUAGAGGGAAUUCCUGGUGUAGCGGUGAAAUGCGUAGAUAUUAGGAAGAACACCAAUGGCGAAAGCACUCUACUGGGCCAUAACUGACACUGAGAGACGACAGCUAGGGGAGCAAAUGGGAUUAGAUACCCCAGUAGUCCUAGCCGUAAACGAUGGAUACUA
This 373-nucleotide ribosomal RNA is filed under the name uncultured phototrophic eukaryote. RNAcentral describes it as "bacterial SSU rRNA". It matches the Rfam family "Bacterial small subunit ribosomal RNA", at positions 430 to 818 of the family's 1533-position model. The record is from RNAcentral.